Molecule: long non-coding RNA, 7096 nt
Filed under: Malus domestica (apple)
Lineage: Eukaryota; Viridiplantae; Streptophyta; Magnoliopsida; Rosales; Rosaceae
Description: long non-coding RNA (MDOM_LNC003348)
Source: RNAcentral
UAUGCCAUGCCACAUCAUCUCAACAUUUCUCAUAUUAAUUAUGCCAUGCCACAUCAUCUCAACAUUUCUCAUAUUAAUUAUGCCAUGCCACAUCAUCUCAACAGUAAUAAGGUAUGAAUGCAUCAACAUAAUCAUAUCAGGUGCAAGAAAGUAAUCAACCGUAGGCCCUCUAAUAGCCCUGUACGGUUGAACCUAGAGCUCAAAAUCUAUCACUCUCACACUCUGCCGGAGUCACUCCGCGUGACCUGUACGGCCUUCUGCACAUAAGUUACGCUCUAGUGCUUCUCAUAAUCAUUUGUGCACAUAAUCUAAGGUCACCCACCAGUCGGAAUCUCACUAACACUCUCGCGACUGGCCUGUCGUACCCACUCCGCGUGGACUGUACGACUAGCAUCUACUUGGAUCCAAGACGAGCGUGCGAUGCGGUGAAUACUAUAAGCACUAAACUAUGGUGCAGGAUUUGAGCUCAAUAUACAUCAACAUCAUCAUAACAGAAAUAAAUACUCACAUGUGCGUCCACCGCACCAUUUCAUACAUAUGCAUCAUAAAUCAAUUCUUACCCGUGCGUCCACCGCACCAAUUCAUACAUAUGCAUCAUAAAUCAAUUCUUACCUGUGCGUCCACCGCACCAAUUCAUACAUAUGCAUCAUAAAUCAAUUCUUACCUGUGCGUCCACCGCACUAAUUCAUACAUAUGCAUCAUAUAUUAAUUCAUGCAUGGCAUUUCAACUCACAUUUCUAAAUACUUUUCAUAUCAAUUCUAUGCAUGGUAUUUCACUUCCCGUUUUUCCACAUAACUCAUAUGCAUUUCAUUUUAAACAUAUUUUCAUUUCAAUUCAAUUUCUGGGAAACGUCAAGUAUAUAUAUAUAUACGGAAAACAAAACUGCCCACUCACCUGGAGUUCGUCCAACAACUCCCUAGCACCACACAUCAAGGCGUCACGACGAUCGGCGCCUAAAACAAUAAUCAAAUCUAGCCUCAGAAUUCAUAUCGAUAGAACAUAUAACUUAUAUAAAAUACGUCACUACGUAGUUCGAUCCGGAAGAUCUGCCACUCAGAUUUUAAAUCCAUAACUUCCAGAGGUCCACAAUAUAUCUCUAGGAUAACAUCCUAAAAUUUCAUUUCCAUCCAACGGUCGGAUCUCCGUCAAUUUCCAAAACUAAGUGACGGUUAACAUUUUAUAUUAUGGACUUACAACUCCAAUUCCGGAAGAUCCGUAACUCGGAUUCCCAAUCCGUAAGUUCCAAUAAUCCUCCAAUAUUACGUAUUACAACGUAUCAAAGUUUGGUGAUGAUCCAACGGUCGGAUCGUCAAUUCAUAUUUUCACCUAAAUGCAAAAACUAUAAAACGUUAUUUGAACACCUAACCAACAAUCCUUAACAACUUUCUCAUACGGUGCUCAAUUUGGGUAUAUGAAUAUACCACGGUGAUCUACUCGACGUCACGGACGUCGAAAUAUUUUUAAAAUAAUUUUUUACUGUAGCACGCGACCCCACGCGCCAAGGAAGGCACGGACCUACGCGCCCCCACGCGCACCUUCUUCUUCCUUGGGUCGCUGGACUGGUUUUUCCGGUGACCGGAAAACUGGGCAUUUUUCAAAUGCCUUGUUCUCCUUCGUUUCUCAACCAUUUUCUUCGUAUAAUAUAUCAAAUUGAAGCCCCAAACAUGUAGAAUCACAAUAUACUACUUUAAAGCUCUAAAAACCAUGAAAUCUCACCGGAAAAAUUCCAAGAAAACCGGCCAAAGAUGAACCACGUGAUCCCGGCGUCUAAAUCCUUCAAACGAAGCACUCCGAGCUUCCUUGGGACCUCACUAAGCUCACUAUGAACUUGGAUUGUCCUAAAAUCAACCAACAAAAAGUUCAUGAAUAGUGCCAAACUCGGACCUCGAGUUUUCAACGCGAAAACGAAGGAUUCCUUACCUGAAAAUGGUGUCUACGUGAUCGUGGAGGUUCCAGGAGUUCGAUGGUGGUCUUAAAUUGGACGUUCGUGGAGGUUUGAUUGAGGUUGUGUGUGAGUCCGUAUGUUCGAGAGUAAGAGAGAGAGUGAGAGAGAGUUUUCUGAGAAGAAUAAGAUAGAGAGAAGAGGUUACGGGUUUUAGGGAGGGAAUUCAGGGUAGGAGGCCCUACCUAAGUCCAAACACAAAUUAACCAUAGUUUCGGAUCUUUAGAUAACACAAUGUCGUACAUUUACGCACCUUAAUCCCGUUUAAGGGCAUAUUGGUCAUUUCACGUCCUCGGAAUUAAAAUUCCGAGACGGGCUGUGACAAUCUCCCCUCCUUAUAGAAUUUCGUCCCCGAAAUUCCAGCCACCAACCAACCCAUCAAUACUCAUACCAAACUCGGUAAGUUUCUUUCAUCCGAUUCUUUUUCUCCUACGAAAUUUUCUUCCACUGAAUAAUUCCUUCACAAAACUUUUACCAUUUACUCUAUCUUAACUCUCAUGAUCUUCUUUUUCCAAUCCAAAGUUGUCAUUAGCUCCUCACUAAUUAGAUCCAGUUUAAUUCUCAAUAGUUACACCAGAAUUCCAUGAGACGACUCUGCCACCUAGUGACAACGCAUCGAACACAAAAUACAUUAAGUACCGUUGCCCUGUCUGGGAAAAAGUUAUUACUCAGCACUGGAGUAAUUGUACUAACUUGGUACAUUGCCCAACUAUCACUUCAAAUUCGAUCAUAACCAUCCUAUGUACAAGGAAACUUGUACACAUAAUCCAAAGUAAUAUCUUUCCAUUUCCACUGCGAAACAGAAAAUAGUUAUCUCAAUCCAAAGGUUUAUCUUUUUCUGCCUCAAUCUGCUGACCAAAUAAAACUGUCGAAUGGUAUGAUAAAUCUUAUUACUUUUGGAAUAUUGCAGAAGUUGAACAGUGAACUUCGUCCAAAUUUGCUUGCUUUAAAUCCUCAGCAUUAGGCACAUACUUUUUGUUUUCUUGUAUCCACAUACCAUUUGAUUCACGAAUCAUGUACUCAUUCUUUUUCCCUUCUUUCUCUGCCUUGGUUAAUUCUUAAAUUUCCUCGUCAAACAUUUAAGUUUCGAGUACGACCUUACCAAAAGGCCUAACUUGAAACUUAGCAAGUAUAACUUCUUCUCGAUCUUUCAUUCUUAACUUUACUUUAGUUGGUUUCCAAUCCACAAGAUGAUACUCUUGGCCAACGUGCCAGACAUUAAUUCUUACUGCAAUCUUUUUAUCAAGUGCUUCAACUAUAUCAAUCCCACGAUCACCCUGGUCGUACAAUCAUGUUCAUUAAACAAUUCAAUUUACCUUCGCUGCCUCAUAUCAAAAUCCUUCCAAGUAAUGGAUAUUGAAGACUUUUUGGAUUCGUAAAAUCUUGCAUUCUUACCAAAUAUAAUGCCUUCAUAACUUCACAGCAAGAAUGGUAAUCAUGACUUCCAAGUCACCCGUAGGGUAAUUCAUCUCAGGAGGUUCCAUUUAUCGUGAAACGUAUGCAAUCACCCUAACAUUUGCAUCAACAUGCCUCCAAUACCAUUCAAGAAACAUCACUAAAAAUUUAUGAUUACCACUAUUCUCUGGGAAUACCAAAAUACGUGCAUGAGUGAGGAAAUACUUCAGUUGUUGAAUCCUUUGCUCACAAUUUCCUUCCCACUCAUACAUAACCUCUUUUCUCAACAGUCUCGUCAAUGACAAAGCAAUGACUAAAAAAUCUUUCACAACCAUCCAAAAUAGCCUGGUAAGCUAAGAAAUUCCGAAUCUCAAUUAUGGCUUGUGGUUGUUCCAAAUUUUUAAUUUCUACUACUUUUUAAGGAUUCACUUGAAUACCUUAAGAAUAUAUAACAUAUCCCAGAAUGCCACCUGAUUCAUCUAACUUUAACAUUUGCUACUUAGCAUACAACCAACGUUCUCUCAAUCUUUGCUUCACCAACUUAAUACGUUUACAUGCUCUGCUCUGGCUCAGAAUAUGCCAGAAUAUCUUCAAUGAAAACGAUAUCAAUUAUCAAAGCAUUAUUGGAAUACUUCAUCCAUCAACUCAUAAAACAACAUGAGUAUCCAUAUAGCAUCACCAAACUUCAUAAAGACUAUAACAAGUCCAGAAAACCAUCUUAUGAUCAACGUCAUUCAUAAUCUUUAAUUGGUAAUAACCAGACUUCAAGUCAAUCUUUGAAAAUAUACAAGCACCUUUGAACUGAUCAAAUGAGCGUCAAUACACCACAAUGGAUAACGGUUCUCAUUCGUUACCCGAUUCCAUUAUCUAUAAUCAAUGCACAAUCUCUAAGUCCAUUUUCUUUUUCACCAACGAACUGGUGCUCCUCAAAAGUGUUAUACUGGGUUGAAUAAACUUUUAUCAACCAAUUCCCUCAAUUGAAUUUCCAAUUCACUUAACUCAUCAUGAACCAAUCUCUAUCAUAAGAUUUAUACCUGGCAACAAUUCAAUAGUGAACCUCACAUCUUUGCAUGAAGGCAAUCCAGGUAUACUUUCAAGGACAACAUUAAGAAAGCGUCCAAUUACCUUUACAUUUUCCAACUACUAGGAGCCACAUUAUUUAGCAUCACAUAAGCUAAGUAUCCUUGACAGAUCUUCGAAAACAAUCUCCUUGCUCUCACAGCAUAAAUAACGGCCUGACUCAAUCCACUUUGCAUACUUACAAAAGUAAUCUCUGGUCAUCCAGAUCGAUGGAAAGUACUGGUUUCCUGUAACAUUCCGUCGUGUCACAAUUAUAACCAACCAAUCUAAUGGAACAGAAUUAACUGAUACAAUAUAUAUUCUAUUAUUAAGCAUUCUGAAGAAGUACAAUACUAACAUAAAAUAAUCUACUAGGUUGCUUGCUUAACAAAUCCACGAAUGAGUUAUUAAUAUUACGGUCUGCAGCCCGCAAUACUGAUAAAUCAUCGUUGUCUCGAUAAGUAGGCAACCACUCUCAAAGAUAUAACAUUACUAUUUUGAUACUCAAUGCAAAAUACAUACACUCGUCUCAACUACAAUUAAUUACUACUCUCUAGGUAAUAACAUACAUAAUAAGAAAUAUAUCAGCCGAAGUCAACUAGAAUGACCAAUACGGCUGAUUCAACUCUUAUCUCAAUAAUACGUCGGUCGGAUCCACUCCGCGUGGUCGGUACGGCCGAGCCUAUAACUCACCAAUUUCUCAUGCGUCAGCCAGAUCCACCUCUCGUGGCCUGUACGGCUGAACAUAUAACUCAUCAAAUCUCUCUGUACUCACGGUCAAUCCGACCAAACUACUAAAUCCAUAACUCUGCUGAAUCGAUACUACGAUGUCAUAGAAAACUGUUGGGUACAACUGAUUCUAGGGACGAUUCAUAAUUUUGUGUCCUCUCUGUUCACAUAAACACAUUCCUUAAUUUCACACUUCCCAAAGUGUUAAUUUUGUACCUGCUGCACAAGGUACAUUUCCUUUACUCGAGACACCUUGUCUCAAAUAUCUGGAUGGAACGAGGCAAGUCUGAAAACUUUCUAUAAUAUUCAUUUAUCGUCAACUUCCUUGAUUCACAUUUGUAAACUCUUGCUUACUACCAUCGAUAAAUGCCGGAGGGAUAAACUUUUCCUUAAACAAGUCCUUAAAUAAUUCUCAAUCAGCUGUUUUCUCCGGUGACAACAAUUAACAAUCCUGUUUCCACCAGGAUACAAAUUCAUACCCAAAACCAGGUAGUCGUCUCGACCCCUUGUCAGAAGGAAGAUUCCUUUGACUUGCAUAAUCCGAAACAUCUUUUCCAAAUGUUUAAACCGUUACUUUGUUCCCUCAGGUUCAUCAUUUCUCUUAUGUGAUUCAAGUUCAACUCAUUACCCAUCUUAAAAUGUCCAUUUUGAUAAUAUACUGAAUCACCAUAAUAAUAGUUUCCCCUAACCCGCUAAAUCAGGGAGACUAAGUUCCUCUAACUACGUGGUUUGCUACGAGGCGGUGUAGUUCUGACAGAAUUCACUAGAAACUUCUCAAGAUGUCCAAGAUUGCAACCAUGCUCUGAUACCAACUGACACACCCCGUCCCGAAGGAGGGCAUGCUGGCCGUCACGUGAGAGUGACGUAACCAUUUGCACAGUACGGAAGCUUUAAGAUACAAUUUAUAAGUUGAUACACCCGAAGGUGAGUCCUAAUUUUGUCCAAUCUGUCAGAACACCGUCGAAUUCCUCGUAGUCACCACACCUUUGUGAUUUUUGAACCUGGAGGGGCGCAAAACCAAAAUUGAGUGGGUCAGUAAAACAAUUCUUUUCCAAAUCCAAACAUUUCUCAAAACGUUGUAACCCCUCUCCGUAAAACCUGUAUACUUUCCCAGAAAUGUAAAAUAUAAAUCUACAUAUAUAUUCUCAAGACUUCAAGUCGUUAACUCAACAUUUUCAUACAAUUAUGCCAUGCCACAUCAUCUCAACAUUUCUCAUAUUAAUUAUGCCAUGCCACAUCAUCUCAACAGUAAUAAGGUAUGAAUGCAUCAACAUAAUCAUAUCAGGUGCAAGAAAGUAAUCAACCGUAGGCCCUCUAAUAGCCCUGUACGGUUGAACCUAGAGCUCAAAAUCUAUCACUCUCACACUCUGCUGGAGUCACUCCGCGUGACCUGUACGGCCUUCUGCACAUAAGUUACGCUCUAGUGCUUCUCAUAAUCAUUUGUGCACAUAAUCUAAGGUCACCCACCAGUCGGAAUCUCACUAACACUCUCGCGACUGGCCUGUCGUACCCACUCCGCGUGGACUGUACGACUAGCAUCUACUUGGAUCCAAGACGAGCGUGCGAUGCGGUGAAUACUAUAAGCACUAAACUAUGGUGCAGGAUUUGAGCUCAAUAUACAUCAACAUCAUCAUAACAGAAAUAAAUACUCACAUGUGCGUCCACCGCACCAUUUCAUACAUAUGCAUCAUAAAUCAAUUCUUACCCGUGCGUCCACCGCACCAAUUCAUACAUAUGCAUCAUAAAUCAAUUCUUACCUGUGCGUCCACCGCACCAAUUCAUACAUAUGCAUCAUAAAUCAAUUCUUACCUGUGCGUCCACCGCACUAAUUCAUACAUAUGCAUCAUAUAUUAAUUCAUGCAUGGCAUUUCAACUCACAUUUCUAAAUACUUUUCAUAUCAAUUCUAUGCAUGGUAUUUCACUUCCCGUUUUUCCACAUAACUCAUAUGCAUUUCAUUUUAAACAUAUUU